This 497-nucleotide ribosomal RNA is filed under the name uncultured bacterium. RNAcentral describes it as "partial 16S ribosomal RNA". It matches the Rfam family "Bacterial small subunit ribosomal RNA", at positions 28 to 507 of the family's 1533-position model. The record is from RNAcentral.
GAUGAACGCUGGCGGCGUGCCUAAUACAUGCAAGUCGAGCGAACAGAUGAGGAGCUUGCUCCUCUGACGUUAGCGGCGGACUGGUGAGUAACACGUGGAUAACCUACCUAUAAGACUGGGAUAACUUCGGGAAACCGGAGCUAAUACCGGAUAAUAUAUUGAACCGCAUGGUUCAAUAGUGAAAGACGGUUUUGCUGUCACUUAUAGAUGGAUCCGCGCCGCAUUAGCUAGUUGGUAAGGUAACGGCUUACCAAGGCGACGAUGCGUAGCCGACCUGAGAGGGUGAUCGGCCACACUGGAACUGAGACACGGUCCAGACUCCUACGGGAGGCAGCAGUAGGGAAUCUUCCGCAAUGGGCGAAAGCCUGACGGAGCAACGCCGCGUGAGUGAUGAAGGUCUUCGGAUCGUAAAACUCUGUUAUUAGGGAAGAACAAAUGUGUAAGUAACUAUGCACGUCUUGACGGUACCUAAUCAGAAAGCCACGGCUAACUACGUG